GACAGAGGCCCCAAGCGUUAGGCGGAAUCACUGGGCUUAAAGCGUGUGUAGGCGGAUCGUUAAGUGUCUUGUGAAAUCCCACGGCUCACCCGUGGAACGGCUGGGCAUACUGGCGAUCUUGGGCCAACUAGGGGCAGUCGGAACAAGCGGUGGAGCGGUGAAAUGCGUAGAUAUCGCUUGGAACGCCGAAGGUGAAAACAGACUGCUGGGGUUGCGCCGACGCUGAGACGCGAAAGCCAGGGGAGCAAACGGG
Molecule: ribosomal RNA, 253 nt
Filed under: uncultured bacterium
Lineage: Bacteria
Description: partial 16S ribosomal RNA
Rfam family: Bacterial small subunit ribosomal RNA
Source: RNAcentral